Molecule: long non-coding RNA, 2243 nt
Filed under: Homo sapiens (human)
Lineage: Eukaryota; Metazoa; Chordata; Mammalia; Primates; Hominidae
Description: non-protein coding lnc-JPH3-5:1
Source: RNAcentral
AACACACGGAAGGCCGCAGGGUCCUCUGCCUAGGAAAACCAGAGACCUUUGUUCACAUGUUUAUCUGCUGACCUUCCCUCCACUGUUGUCCUAUGACCCAGCCAAAUCCCCCUCUCCGAGAAACACCCAAGAAUGAUCAAUAAAUACUAAAAAAAAAAAACAAAAAACUGAUCCCGCAGAAGUACAGGCCACUUAGCUUAGCCUGCAGUGAGUCCUCAAUGCAGCUGCUUUGGCUCACCCGGCUGUCGGCUCAGACGCCGACCCAUUUCAAUCAUCAGGAGAGGAGAAGACACACAGGGCCGCCCCAAGGACCCCGUCACCAGCUCAGGCCAGGUCACAGAAUGGAGGUGAUGAGCCCCUGCGGAGACGCCGCGCCCCUGGGGAGACGCCGCACCACAUCAGUGCACAGGAGGCAUCUCACGUUUUGCGGGGCUUGGGAGAGAGGGACCCAUGACGAGAGGACCCCCGCCCAACCACGUGUCGCGAGAGCAGCAUGAAGCCGCGCGCCCCCUCCAGGCAGAGCUGCUGCUAAAAUGACACCCUGUCGGUUACGGUUAGCAUCACUUCCAUCAGCACCACUUCUAGUCAGCUUCCUUUUGAAAACUGCUUCAGGGAAGCUGCUCCAGAAGCCCAUGCAUGUGCCCUGCCACAGCCGCAGCCUCUUUGGGGACACUGCUGUCGCGAUGGUUUCUGCAGAGCCAGCCCGGGGUCCCCACCGUGCCUGCCUCUCCAGUCACUCAGUCCUUUCUCCUGGAACCGGGUCAAGUCCCUCUGCGUGUCUGAACCGGGACAAGGCCCUGCCUGCUUCCAUACCUGAAGCUGGGCCCCAGGGCACCUUCCCAUCCACAUCCGAGACCACCUUCUUAACGGCCAACGGCCACUCAACCCCCCACAGCCAAGACUUCUACCUGUCGCUUUCCAAGACUGAACAUUUUCAGCUUCGCCAUUAAAAAAUACACCCAGAAGGCCGGGCAUAGUGGCUCAUGCCUGUAAUCCCAGCACUUUGGGAGGCCGAGACGGGCGGAUCACAAGGUCAGGAGAUCGAGACCAUCCUGGCUAACGCAGUAAAACCCCGUCUCUACUAAAAAUAUAAAAAAUUAGCCGGGUGUGGUGGCAGGCGCCUGUAGUCCCACCUACUCCGGAGGCAGGAGAAUGGCGUGAACCCGGUGGGUGGAGCUUGCAGUGCGCCGAGAUUGCCCCACUGCACUCCAGCCUGGGGGAUAGAGCGAGACUCUGUCUCUAAAAAAAAAAAAAAAAAAAAAAAAAUACACCCAGAAACAGGUGUGGCCACAGGUCUGCGUGUGCUGGAACAUGAGUAGAAGCCACUGUCGCGCCCAAUUCCCCAGCACGAGACAAGCUGAGACAACCUGCAGCCGGUGACCUGGGAGAGCUGGGCACGGACCUCAGGGGCCAGGUGAGCACGGAGCUCUGGCUCCGAGGUCAGCCGGGAUCUCCCAAGUCACACAGUCCACACUCGCAACAACUCUGUCUGCUUCUGGUAUUCCAGGAGCUCAGCUCCCAAGUGGCAAAUGAAAGGACGCUCUGGCCUCUGCCAGCAUGCUCCACGGCCUCGCGGUAACAGUGGGGCGUGCAGAGAACAGCCCUCUCCUGGUUAUGCAUGGACGUUAUCUCCUGACCUCCAGGCGCACAAUGACAACUGAGGUCAAAACGCAGGCAGGAAGGAGGGCCAGCGAUACAGCUUAGCCGGUCUGGCUGUUCACCGUCCUGCUGCACUCUACGACACAUCUGCUGGGAGAAAGCACUAGACCGGGGCAUCCUGCCUGGCUUUCAGCCAAGUCAGCCUGUUCUCAGUGCCCUCCCACAUGCCAGAAUAUCUAGACAAGCCUGACCGAUGCCAGCCACUACUCCAGAAAAUAGGGUGAUUUUCUCUGUGCAGAACAAAAGAUGACCAAGAAAAAAAUCGGGUCAUUCCGAUCAACUCGGUACAAUCUCUGACCAACUGCCAUUAAAAGGCUGAAAUCCUUUAUUGCCAAGGCAGCAGAAUGAACGUGGAUCAGAAUGGAGAAACAGACCUAUGUUCCUGCAGGCAUGUGAUUUUCAACAAAGGUUCCUAAGGUAUUCAAUGGAGAAUAAAAAGCCUUUUCUUUUUUCUUUUUUUUGAGAUGAGUCUUGCUCUAUUGCCCAGGCUGGAAUGUAGCAGCACAAUCUUGGCUCACUGCAACCUCCGCCUCCCGGGUUCAAGUGAUUCUCCUAUCUCAGCCUCCCGAGUAGCUGGGAUUACA